GUGAGGAAUUUUCCGCAAUGGGCGAAAGCCUGACGGAGCAAUGCCGCGUGAAGGAUGAAGGCCUAUGGGUUGUAAACUUCUUUUCUCAGAAAAGAAGUAUGACGGUAUCUGAGGAAUAAGCAUCGGCUAACUCUGUGUCAGCAGCCGCGGUAAGACAGAGGAUGCAAGCGUUAUCCGGAAUGAUUGGGCGUAAAGCGUCUGUAGGUUGUUUAAAAAGUAUUCUGUCAAAGAUUAGGGCUUAACUCUAGAUAGGCAGAAUAAACUUUUAAGCUAGAGUUUGGUAGAAGCAGAGGGAAUUACCGGUGGAGCGGUGAAAUGCGUAGAUAUCGGGAGGAACACCAAAGUCGAAGGCACUCUGCUGGGCCAAUACUAACACUGAGAGACGAAAGCGAGGGGAGCAAAUGGGAUUAGAUACCCGGGUAGUCC
Molecule: ribosomal RNA, 426 nt
Filed under: uncultured bacterium
Lineage: Bacteria
Description: partial 16S ribosomal RNA
Rfam family: Bacterial small subunit ribosomal RNA
Source: RNAcentral